RNAcentral lists this ribosomal RNA (479 nucleotides) under uncultured bacterium. Its description in RNAcentral is "partial 16S ribosomal RNA". It matches the Rfam family "Bacterial small subunit ribosomal RNA", at positions 28 to 523 of the family's 1533-position model. The record is from RNAcentral.
GACGAACGCUGGCGGCGUGCUUAACACAUGCAAGUCGAGCGAUGAAGCACCUUCGGGUGUGAAUUAGCGGCGAACGGGUGAGGAACACGUGAAGAAUCUGCCUUCAACUCUGGGAUAACUCCGGGAAACCGGGGCUAAUACCGGAUAUGAGCCUUGAUCGCAUGAUUGGGGCUGGAAAGUUUUUCGGUUGAAGAUGACUUCGCGGCCUAUCAGCUUGUUGGUGAGGUAAUGGGUCACCAAGGCGACGACGGGUAGCCGGCCUGAGAGGGCGACCGGCCACACUGGGACUGAGACACGGCCCAGACUCCUACGGGAGGCAGCAGUGGGGAAUAUUGGGCAAUGGAGGAAACUCUGACCCAGCGACGCCGCGUGAGGGAUGAAGGCCUUCGGGUUGUAAACCUCUUUCAGUAGGGAAGAAGCGAAAGUGACGGUACCUACAGAAGAAGCACCGGCUAACUAUGUGCCAGCCGCCGCAGUAA